Molecule: unclassified non-coding RNA, 21 nt
Filed under: Chlamydomonas reinhardtii
Lineage: Eukaryota; Viridiplantae; Chlorophyta; Chlorophyceae; Chlamydomonadales; Chlamydomonadaceae
Description: small RNA Cre_3950
Source: RNAcentral
UUGCGGAAUAUGGAACAUACG